GCGGACAUGGCGGAAUGGCAGACGCGCCAUCUUGAGGGGGUGGUGCCCGAACGGGUGUGUGGGUUCAAAUCCCAUUGUCCGCA
RNAcentral lists this transfer RNA (83 nucleotides) under Aerococcaceae bacterium DSM 111022. Its description in RNAcentral is "tRNA-Leu". It matches the Rfam family "tRNA". From Rfam's summary of the family: Transfer RNA (tRNA) molecules are approximately 80 nucleotides in length. Their secondary structure includes four short double-helical elements and three loops (D, anti-codon, and T loops). Lineage: Bacteria; Bacillati; Bacillota; Bacilli; Lactobacillales; Aerococcaceae. The record is from RNAcentral.